UGGGGAAUCUUCCGCAAUGGACGAAAGUCUGACGGAGCAACGCCGCGUGAGUGAUGACGGCCUUCGGGUUGUAAAGCUCUGUUAAUCGGGACGAAAGGCCUUCUUGCGAAUAGUUAGAAGGAUUGACGGUACCGGAAUAGAAAGCCACGGCUAACUACGUGCCAGCAGCCGCGGUAAUACGUAGGUGGCAAGCGUUGUCCGGAAUUAUUGGGCGUAAAGCGCGCGCAGGCGGAUUGGUCAGUCUGUCUUAAAAGUUCGGGGCUUAACCCCCCCGUGAUGGGAUGGAAACUGCCAAUCUAGAGUAUCGGAGAGGAAAGUGGAAUUCCUAGUGUAGCGUAGCGGUGAAAUGCGUAGAUAUUAGGAAGAACACCAGUGGCGAAGGCGACUUUCUGGACGAAAACUGACGCUGAGGCGCGAAAGCCAGGGGAGCGAACGGGAUUAGAUACCCCGGUAGUCCUGGCCGUAAACGAUGGGUACUAGGUGUAGGAGGUAUCGACCCCUUCUGUGCCGGAGUUAACGCAAUAAGUACCCCGCCUGGGGAGUACGACCGCAAGGUUG
Molecule: ribosomal RNA, 558 nt
Filed under: uncultured bacterium
Lineage: Bacteria
Description: bacterial SSU rRNA
Rfam family: Bacterial small subunit ribosomal RNA
Source: RNAcentral